Molecule: non-coding RNA, 209 nt
Organism: Chiloscyllium plagiosum (whitespotted bambooshark)
Lineage: Eukaryota; Metazoa; Chordata; Chondrichthyes; Orectolobiformes; Hemiscylliidae
Source: RefSeq, a predicted model, not a curated record
CAAACAUCACAACGUACUUACCAUGGUCCAUCAUUAAUUUGCUGUGUUGCUGUUUACCACUUGGAAUAGCAGCAGUCAUUUUUUCCUGCUCAGAAUGCUAAUGAACUGGGAAAUGUUGAUCAAGCGAGGAGUGCAUCUUCAACUGCCAAGAAACUGAACAUAGCAGGAACUGUAAUUGGAGUGAUUCUAAUAAUUGUAGUAGUUGUUGU